GCCCUAAAUAGGAGAGGGACCUAAGACCUACACUGCCAAAAAAGCAGCAGAUCUAACCCAUCAAAAUUCAAUCUUUCUUUGAUUUGAGAAAAACCAUCGAACUCCACCUCCCUUACCAAAGCAGCGGCCAAAUCUCUCUUUCUUUUACUUAAACACACACAUAAACAUAUACAUAAGGAGAGUAAGAAGGAAAAACGAUAAAAAAGGAUUGAGGCGAGGGACGGAAAAGUGACGGAAUUGGGGAACGAUUUUCUGGGUUUGAGAGCUGCUGAGGUUCGAUGAUGCGAUUGCUGUUGGUCUUGUCCAAAUAGCUGCUUAGCCUUUUAAUUUCUAAUUUCUUCCUCGCUUGUAAAGAUACAAUCGACUGUGAGAAUGAUGAUCUUUGGAUGAAAUAAAUUGCUGUAAGUUUAGCUUGUCAUGCUCGUUUUCUUGUUCCAAACUUUGAAUAAUAUUUUUUUUGUUCUGUUUUGGCGUUCCCCUGCUCAUUAUCCUCACUCUUAAUUCCAUAAGAUACUUCAUAUUCUUCUGCUAGCCUGAUGCCAUUGUACAAUAUUCAAUAUGUUAUUAUGCACUCUUAAUAAGUUCCUGUUUGAUCUAUUGAAUAUGUUAUUUGUUACUUUAUGAUUAGGAUUUCCAUGAUAUGAUCCUUUGUUUCUUUACUUUAAAUUAUUUUGGCAUCCAAAUUACUGAAUUAAACAUGUUCUUUGCUGAUUUGGAACCAAAUAAAUCUAUGUUGAUGGAUUGGUUAUGUACAUGGUUAUUUUAAUGACCGCCUAAAAGAAUAAGGAAGUUCAAAACUAACAUGAGUGAGAAGAUCAAGGAAGAAAUCACGAAACAGUUGGAUGCAAAGGUCAUUCGAGUCACGCGAUACCCCACUUGGUUAGCUAAUGUUGUACCAGUACCAAAGAAGGAUGGUAAGACCGAGGUGGGUGUUGACUACCUCGAUCUUAACAAAGCAUGCCCAAAGGAUAAUUUUCCAUUGCCAAAUAUGCAUAUUUUGAUUGACAACUAUGCCAAGCAUAAGAUCUGAUCUUUUGUGGAUUUCUAUAUGGUGUACCACCAGAUCUUGAUGGAUGAGGAAGAUGCAAAAAAGAUAGCGUUCAUCACGCCACGGGGA
Molecule: long non-coding RNA, 1117 nt
Filed under: Nicotiana benthamiana
Lineage: Eukaryota; Viridiplantae; Streptophyta; Magnoliopsida; Solanales; Solanaceae
Description: long non-coding RNA (NBEN_LNC023062)
Source: RNAcentral